UGCAAGUCGAACGGAAAUAGAGGAGCUUGCUCCUCUUGAUUAGUGGCGAACGGGUGAGUAACACGUGGGCAACCGUGCCCCUGACUCUGGGAUAACUACCUCGAAAGAGUAGCUAAUACCGGAAUAUGAAACCUGAAGACAUCUUCGGGUUGGAAAGUUUUCGGUCAGGGAUGGGCCCGCGGCCUAUCAGCUAGUUGGUGAGGUAGUGGCUCACCAAGGCGACGACGGGUAGCCGGCCUGAGAGGGCGACCGGCCACACUGGGACUGAGACACGGCCCAGACUCC
Molecule: ribosomal RNA, 285 nt
Filed under: unidentified marine bacterioplankton
Lineage: Bacteria
Description: partial 16S ribosomal RNA
Rfam family: Bacterial small subunit ribosomal RNA
Source: RNAcentral